This 253-nucleotide ribosomal RNA is filed under the name uncultured bacterium. Its description in RNAcentral is "partial 16S ribosomal RNA". It matches the Rfam family "Bacterial small subunit ribosomal RNA", at positions 524 to 776 of the family's 1533-position model. The record is from RNAcentral.
UACGGAGGGCGCAAGCGUUGUUCGGAAUCACUGGGCGUAAAGCGCGUGUAGGCGGCUUGGCAAGUCGGAUGUGAAAGCCCGAAGCUCAACCUCGGAACUGCACUCGAAACUGCCUGGCUCGAGUCCCGGAGAGGGUGGCGGAAUUCCCGGUGUAGGGGUGAAAUCCGUAGAUAUCGGGAGGAACACCAGUGGCGAAGGCGGGCACCUGGACGGUGACUGACGCUGAGAUGCGAAAGCGUGGGGAGCAAACAGG